Temnothorax curvispinosus is the source of this 2975-nucleotide RNA transcript. RefSeq lists it as uncharacterized. The transcript is spliced from 5 exons. The record is from RefSeq and is a predicted model, not a curated record. Lineage: Eukaryota; Metazoa; Arthropoda; Insecta; Hymenoptera; Formicidae.
CAGCUAGAGUCCCUUUAUAAGAGUCUGGACAGACUUUGGGAGUGCAACAACAUGGCGUGAACGUCACGUAUAUAGAGACUCUAGUCUAGACGCCCUAGACGGAAGAAAAACCAUGGCGGCGAUGGAUGACUACACGUGAAUCGUAUAUCCUGGAAUCGUUGUAUCGUCGACGUUGUAUAUAAAGAUUUAUAUCAUCUCCAAAUUAGUCUACAUAAAAAGGUUUUCUCUGGCAUAAUGGCUGGUUGUUGUAUACCUGGAUGUACUAACAACAAUAAAAAAGGAUAUUCUAUGAGAAGAUUUCCAAAAGAUGUAAAAAAAAAAUUAAAUUAGAUAAAAAAUAUCAACAAUCUGUGGCCUAAUUGGAAACCUCCUGAGCAUGGACUUAUUUGUCAUAUAAUCACAUUUUUCUGAUGCAAUGUGGGAAAAACCUCGUGUAGAUGGUAAACAAAAAUUAAAAGAUGAUGCUGAGCCAACUAUUUUUUAUAAUCAUAAUGUUAAUAUAAUACCUGCAGCUUCUUCAGUUUCUCCACCGUUAAAUGAUCAAUCAUCAACAGAUUAUAAUACCAAUAGUUCAUCGCAUGACGAAAUUGUGGAAGUAAAUAUAGAACCAAAUCAACAAAUAAAUUCAAUAGAAGUUUUUACUAGUAAAUUACCGAGUACUGAAGUUAAUAAAAUUUGUGAAAAAACCAAUUCCACGGAUUAUGAAACUCCAACAGAUUGUACAACUACAUCAACGUUAGAUGAAGCAUUGAAAAUUGCUGUUCUAAAAGCUGAAAAUCUGGAAAAACAAUUAAAAGUGGCAAAUGCUAAGCUUCAAGCUGCAGAUGUAUCCGUUCGAAAAGUACUAAGAUCAAAUAACUUUUUAUUAAGACGUAUCAGACGGCUGAGAAGUAACAACAGAAUACGUGUUGAGAAAAGUUUAUUAAAAUCUACAGAAAUUUUACACAAAGUAUUCAAUGAUGACCAAAUCAAAUAGCUCCAACGUGAUUCUAGUUGUAAAACUGUACAUAAAUGGUCUGAAGAAACCAUAAAAAAAGCACUUCGGUUAAAAGUAUCAUGUUCCAAUAGUGGUUACCAAGAACUUAUGAAACAAAAUAUUCCUUUGCCAUCUACUAGGACACUUCGUAGAAGAUUAGAAACGAUUACAUUUGAACCUGGAAUUUGUGAUGAUAUAUUUGAGGCUCUAAAAGAAAAAGUUGAACAAUUUGAAGAUGACAGACAAAGAGAUUGCAUGCUUGCAUUAGACGAAAUGAGUAUUAUGAGUGGGAAUUAAGUUGAUUUAUCAACAAAUUCACGUUUUGGUGGUACUACUAUUCCUAACACUUUUGGAAAAAAAACAGAAGCAACGCAUGGUUUGGUCAUAAAUGCUUGCUGGCAUUUUUACUAGAUGGAAACAAGUCGUAGGGUAUUAUUUUACUCCAAACGGAUUUGAUGGUGUUAAACUGAAACCUAUCAUUGAAGAAAUUAUUAGAAAAGCAGAAUUAAUUGGUCUUUAUGUGCACAGUAUUACAUCCGAUAUGGGUGGAGUAAACCAAGCAAUGUGGAGAGCUUUUGGAAACGUAUCUGCUAGUAGGUAUGGUGAAAUUGUAAAUUCAAUAUCUCAUCCAGUUGAUGAAUCACGUAGAUUAUUUUUCUUUGCUGCGACGCUCCACAUCUAUUUAAGAAUCUCCGAGUCUGUCUGAUUAAUAAUAAAGUUAUAUUAUUGCCUGAAAAAUUUGUAAAAACUUUAAAGUUAUUUUCUGAUAUUGUACAAUUUGAACAUUUUAAAGAAUUAGUAGCCGAACAAAAAGAUUAUCAUUUAAAACUUGCACCAAAGUUAAAUAAAAAUGUUAUUAAAACGACAACGUUUAAUAAAAUGAAAGUUGGUCACGCAGUGAAUAUGUUAAAUAGAUAUGUGAGUGGUGCAUUUAAUUAUAUGGACCAUGAAAAUGGUAAUAAAAAAUAUGAAACAACAGCAAAAUUUACUGAAAUAAUGUCUAAAUGGUUUGGAUUAAUAACUGCACGAAGUCCUAUGAUGGCUUUAGGUAAAAAAGAAAACAAUGAAAGAACACAAAAUAAAUUUAAUGAAAGCAUACAGUUCCUAAAUUCGGUAAUUGAGUUAUUCCGUGAUGUAAAAAUUGGUUCAGAUCAGCGAUUUAAACCAGUCCAAAGAGGCAUUUUAAUAACUACAAAAUCUGUAAUUGAACUUACUAAUUAUUUAAUUAAUAAACGAAUAUUCGUACGUUCUUGCUGGUCGAUUUUCUCAAGACUGCGUGGAAAAUCUUUUCUCAAAUAUUAGAAAAAAAUUUCCAAUUCCGAACGCUUUACAGUUUAAACACAGUUUAAAAGUUCUGAUGGUUUCUCAGUACUUACAAACGUUACAAAAUACAAAUUAUGACCAAGAUGAAGGUUCUUUCAUUGCUGAUUUUUUAAGACGGCCAGCUAAAACUAAUUAUAAUCAAUUUGAAGACAUUUCUCCUGUCCUUCCUCCUGGAAUAGAAAAUAAAGUUAUAGGUAUAUCAAAAAAAGAAUUAAAUUCAUUGUAUGGCAUAUGUGGAUACAUUUUAACUAGAGUUUCGAAAUUAACUAAAGUUUGUAAACAAUGUAUAAAUUCUGCUGGAUCCACAACAUAUAAUGGUAGUUCACAAUAUUCUGCAUUACUUCGCCUUAGAUGUUAUAAACCAAAUACAUCGUUUUUCGUGAAUGAUGAAACUUUUAGAUUUUUUUAUCAUAUGGAAAUUGAAAUACGACGUUAUUUACCUCAUUUGAAAUACGCAAAAGUUGAUUUCGUUAAAUUUUAUAUAGUUAAACUGAAACACAUUCAAUGUGAUACAUUGUUAAAUUGCCACAAUAUUUUCGAAAAAAUAAUGAAACGUUUUAUUUUAUAUAAAGUUAAAAUUGAAUGCAAAAAAGGAAUUUUAAAUGCUUACAAUAGUAAAACUAUGAGUAUGCAUUCAUUAAUUAAGUAGUUAGAUUAGUAUAUUGUAUAAGGUAUA